Molecule: transfer RNA, 72 nt
Filed under: Marmota marmota marmota (Alpine marmot)
Lineage: Eukaryota; Metazoa; Chordata; Mammalia; Rodentia; Sciuridae
Also listed under: 1 other name
Rfam family: tRNA
About the family: Transfer RNA (tRNA) molecules are approximately 80 nucleotides in length.
Source: Rfam by way of RNAcentral
GGGAAUAUAGCUCAGUGGUAGAGCACUUGCCUAGCAUGCAAGAGACCCUGGGUUCAGUUCCCAAUACUGCAA